UUGAAACUUAAGGCUGCAGCUUAUGAUGCUGAAGACUUGCUUGACAAGCUUGCAGCACAUCUGAAGAAAUCUGAAGCACAGGAAGCACAUUUUUCCAGCUUCUUUGAUGCAAAAAAGAUUGUAUUUGAUGCAGAUGAGGUGAGAAAGAAGCUUCAGGAAUUGCAAACUGUAGCACUAGAGGGUUCUAACUUCAAUCUUCAACAGGGUAAUAUGAUAGCAGCUAGUCAAUUUGAUGAGAGGGAAACAGGCUGUUUUGUUAUUGAAUCAGAAAUCUAUGGAAGAAACAAGGAUAAGGAGGAGAUAGUAAAACUGUUAUUGUCACGUGAAGAAACCAACAAAGGAAAUUUGUCCUUCAUUCCGAUCAUCGGUAUGGGAGGACUAGGCAAGACAACUCUUGCUCAGUUAGCGUAUUACGAUGAUGAGGUGACACAACAUUUUGAUGUUAAACUAUGGGUUUUUGUUUCUGAUGCUUUUGAUGUAAGGAUAAUAAAGGAAGCAAUUGAGUCUGCAACAAUGGAAAAAUGUGAAAAUUUGGCGGUAAAUGUGCUUCAGUCCAAGCUCUGGGCAUUGCUGCACAAGAAAAGGUACUUAGUUGUGUUGGAUGAUGUUUGGAAUGAAGAUCAGAAGGCAUGGGACAAACUAAAACCUGUAUUCGUGGGUGGCAUGGAUGGGAGUAAAAUAGUUAUCACUACCCGAAACCAAAAAGUUGCACUUGUAACAAGCUUCCCAACUUAUCCAUACUAUUUGAAAGAACUGGACGAGGAUGAUUGCUGGAAGUUGUUCAAGCAUCGAGCUUUCCCACGAGGAGAAGAAAGUAAGUAUCCGAACCUUGUACCAAUAGGAAAAGAGAUCAUUAAAAAAUGUGGAGGUAUUCCAUUAGCAGUGAAAACUAUGAGUGUUUCGAUGCGCUUUAAGAAACAGGAAAGAGAGUGGUUAUUUGUUCAAAACAGUGAUCUAUGGAAAUUAGAUGUAUACCAUAAAGAAAUUUUACCUGUAAUGAAAUCCAGCUACCUUCUUUUACCAUCUCACCUCAAACGCUGCUUUGCUUUCUGCUCAAUUCUCCCCAAAGGAUAUGAAAUCAAGAAGGAGAAACUAAUCCAAUUGUGGAUGGCAGUAGGGUUAAUUCGAUCUGAUGGAACAAGAAAACCGCUGGAGGACAUUGGCGAAGAGUACUUCCAGGACUUAAUAUGGAAGUCUUUCUUCCAUGAUUCAGGAGAUUUUGACAAUGGUGACAAAAGUGGAUACAGAAUGCACCAUAUCAUUCACGACCUUGCACAAUCUGUUGCAGGACAUGAUUCUAUUGUUCUAGAGAAAGGUCUUCCAUCAUGUAGUCUUACUCAAAUUCGUCAUGCUGCUGUGGUUUGUGAUUCUAAGAAUCCUGAAAUCCAUCAAGCUUUGUGCAAGGCAAAACGUUUGCGAACUCUCAUACUGUCUCCUGGAGGUGACACCACAGAGUUUCCUGAUCAAUUGUUUGCAACUUCCACAUUUUUGCGCGUGCUAGAUAUGAGUGCAUCUGGCCUUCAUUACCUAGUCCACUCCAUUGGUAACUGCCUGUGCUUGAGAUAUCUUGACCUUUCAUACACACCAAUCAGGUUCUUGCCUUACGGUACAGUCGAACAACUGCCAUUUUUGCAAACUUUGAAUCUUUGUGGUUGCAUUAACCUCAAGGAAUUGCCUAUUAUUGCAAAAAUGAUGAGCCUAAGACAUCUCGAUAUAACUGGAUGCGAAUCACUGACUGCCAUGUCGCCUUCUUUUGAUGCACUGUAUAAAAAUUACGGACGUUCCUUCAGUAGGGCAGCCCAACAUGAGAAAUUCUUUAACUCAACAUUUGAGCCUGGAUUCUCUUCUCAGCUACAUAUAUUGCCAACAAUUGUAGUUGGUGGUUUUCUAGACCUCAUGUUUCUAGGAAGGUUAAACCUUCAAGGUGAGUUAAAGAUCAUACAUUUGGAGAACGUCAAUACUUCAAAUGAUACAGAGAAUGCCAAUUUGAUGGAGAAAGACAACCUUGAUUCUUUAGGACUAUACUGGGGGGAGAAACAUGACAUAUCCAUCCUAAAUCCAGUGCAGGAGGAUUCAAAACCUCCAUUCUUGAAAAGAGAACAGCAUCAUUCAACUGGAUCAUCAGAACAGCACCAAAGUGAUGCUAAUGCAGCAGAAGAAGUUGCCAAAGGCCUCCAACCACACCAAAAUUUGAAGAUGUUAGUUGUGAAAGGGUAUCCAGGAAAUAGAUUUCCACAUUGGAUGCUGCCGAAUCUAACCAAGGUUGAUUUGAGAGAUUGCCCGAAUUGCAAUUAUCUUCCUGUCCUAGGGAAUCUUUUGUUUCUAAAGACUCUCAUCCUGCAUGGAAUGCCUUCUCUGGUGCAUAUUGGGACAGAGUUCUAUGGUGAAGCCAGUGGGCAACUGUUCCCUUCACUUGAAGAACUUGUUCUCAGUGAUUUCCUUAAUCUGCAAGAAUGGCUUGAUCCAGAUGGAAAAGAUGCCUUCCCUAAGCUGAGCAAAUUAAUUGUCAAGAAAUGUCCCAAGCUGAUUUCAAUGCCAUUACUUGCCUCUCUUGAACACUUGGAAAUACGGAAGUGUAGUGCAGUUCUGUUUAAUUCCAUAAAGAGCGCAUCCUCUCUUACAGUUCUUGCCAUUGAGGAUGUAGCAGAGUUUUCGCCAUCAUCAGAAGGGAUCUUUGUGAACAAUCCUCUCCUUUCUUCUUUGGAGAUAAUAGCUUGCCCAGGGCUUUGUUUUCUGCCAUCAGAGUUGGGAAACCUCAAUGCUCUCAAGUCAUUGAAAAUUCAUAGGUGUGAAGAGCUCUCCUCUUUCCAACAAGGUUUCCAGCACUUCAAGGCUUUAGAAAGUUUAGAAAUUUGUCACUGCCACUGUAUUUCUAUACCAGAGGGGAUUGGAAGUAUCAGUUCCCUCAGAAGUUUAUGCAUAGACAAUUGUGACAAUUUGACAUCAUUACCUUUGAGUUUGAAGAAUCUCACAUGUCUUGAGCACUUGACCAUCAUGAACUGUCGAAAUCUCGUGUCUUUGCCAGAGGACAUGCAUCGACUUUCUGCUCUUCAAAGUUUGACCAUCUUAAGCUGUUCCCAGGUUUUGUCUCUGCCUGAAGAGUUGCAGCAUAUCACAACAAUGCAUUGAGGUAUUGUGCUGUUCUCACAGCUUUGCCAGAAUGGAUUGGAGACACAGUCACUGUGAUAAUUGAUAAUCUCAGAUUGGCUUGGUCUGAAUCAAUUGCUACAAGAUCUGAAACGUCUAAAUACUCUUCUGCAUCGGUCAAUUCAAGGGUCCUGAAAUUUUGGAAAGAUGCAAAAAAGAAGUUGGUGACAAUUGGCCAAAAAUAAUCCGUGUUCCACACUAAAAUAUUGGAUCAACUGAGGUCAGUCAGCUGAAUGAAGCAGUCAGCUAGAUUUUAUUCUGAAGCAACCAACUUCCUGUCCAUUUUCAUUAACAUCGUUCUCAUGAUGAUAAAUAAUUUCUUUUCUUUCCAUCUUUUAUUGAUGUAUGGUCCCCCUUGUUACUUGUAUCCCAAUUAUCCCUGUACUGUUCAAACACUGUUGUCUGUAUAAUUUUCUUGUCAAUCACUGCUAUCUGUGACUCUAUAAUUUUCUUUCUCCAGAUAUAGAGAACAAAUCUCAAUUAUGAGCGAGGAUACUGUUCUAGAAAGCUAGAAAAGAGAUAAGAAUGGUAUAUUUUUAAAAGAGAAGUUAAAAUAAAUAAGAUAGUAUUGAUGAAUAAAACUUCCAAAGACAGAAUCCUGCUGGAAAAAAAAAAGGCUUUGCAAUCCCUAUAUUUUCUGAGUGGCUAUUCCUAUUCUUGUGAAAAUAUCAAAUUCUUCAUUCGUGGAUGCUGAUAAUCCUCAACAUAAACCAACAGAACAAGAACACUAGCGAUAUUAUCCAAGCAAAUAUUGGCAAGUUGUUGUACAAUAAGUAAAAAAUCUUAAAUUAUUAUGUCUAAGCCUUUGAUUUACACAAACGAAGAUGAAAUCUAUCAAUGCACAGGAACACAUCAACGGAAAAUGGAUAACCCAAAAGCUAGUGAUUUCGUCAUAGCACAACAGGUGAACAUCUGAACCAGUUCAGAGAAAUUCAAAAGUAAAAAAAGAAAAGGUUACCUGAAGGCAAGUAGACUCAGUCCCAUUUUUUAAUCCCCCAAAUUCAAUACUUCAAUAUCGCAUUAUCAAGUUCUCAUCAAAAUUUUUGGUUAUUAUUGGCCUCAAAUCCUACUUAAUUGGCUAUCACUGCCACUGGAAGCAACUCCAUUCAGGAUUUCUCAUCUGCUCUGCUCUGCUUCCGCUUGGAAACUGUUACCUGCUAUAACCGUUGGGAGUUGGCCUUGACGGAUAUCAGUAUUGAAUUCGGGGGAUUAAAACAUGGACUUUUGGGUGAAG
Molecule: long non-coding RNA, 4381 nt
Filed under: Manihot esculenta (cassava)
Lineage: Eukaryota; Viridiplantae; Streptophyta; Magnoliopsida; Malpighiales; Euphorbiaceae
Description: long non-coding RNA (MESC_LNC006121)
Source: RNAcentral